RNAcentral lists this ribosomal RNA (301 nucleotides) under uncultured bacterium. RNAcentral describes it as "partial 16S ribosomal RNA". It matches the Rfam family "Bacterial small subunit ribosomal RNA", at positions 509 to 807 of the family's 1533-position model. The record is from RNAcentral.
CAGUAGCCGCGGUAAUACGAAGGGUGCAAGCGUUACUCGGAAUUACUGGGCGUAAAGCGUGCGUAGGUGGUUGUUUAAGUCUGCUGUGAAAGCCAUGGGCUCAACCUGGGAAUUGCAGUGGAUACUGGGCAACUAGAGUAAGGUAGAGGAUAGUGGAAUUUCCGGUGUAGCAGUGAAAUGCGUAGAGAUCGGAAGGAACAUCUGUGGCGAAGGCGACUAUCUGGGCCAUUACUGACACUGAGGCACGAAAGCGUGGGGAGCAAACAGGAUUAGAUACCCCAGUAGUCCCUGUCUCUUAUAC